GACGAACCGUGCAAACGUUAUUCGGAAUCACUGGGCAUAAAGGGCGCGUAGGCGGCUCCACAAGUCAGGGGUGAAAUCCGGCAGCUUAACUGUCGCAGUGCCUUUGAUACUGUGGAGCUAGAGGGAGGUAGGGGUCUGUGGAACUUCCGGUGGAGCGGUGAAGUGCGUUGAUAUCGGAAGGAACGCCGGUGGCGAAAGCGACGGACUGGAUCUCUUCUGACGCUGAGGCGCGAAAGCCAGGGGAGCAAACGGG
RNAcentral lists this ribosomal RNA (253 nucleotides) under uncultured bacterium. RNAcentral describes it as "partial 16S ribosomal RNA". It matches the Rfam family "Bacterial small subunit ribosomal RNA", at positions 524 to 776 of the family's 1533-position model. The record is from RNAcentral.